This 1033-nucleotide unclassified non-coding RNA is filed under the name Zea mays. Its description in RNAcentral is "misc RNA Zm00001eb187230". The record is from RNAcentral. Lineage: Eukaryota; Viridiplantae; Streptophyta; Magnoliopsida; Poales; Poaceae.
GACACCGCUGCUGCCUCUUCUUCCCUCCUCUCGAGAAGCUGCCUGCUACCCGCGCGCUGCCUCUCCCUUCCACUCCAUACCAUACCGCCACGACAACGUCGACAAGCGCAAUACCGGAGCCCUCCGAAAUGGCCGAGGACAAGGAGACCGACUCGCCGCAGCCGCCGGCCAAGCUGCCCCGCCUCUCCCGCGCCGACACGAGCGCCGGAGAGGUGACCAUGGCGGCCUCGUCGCCGCUGGUUCUUGGGCUGGGGCUGGGCCUCGGCGGGCGCGGCGGCGGCGGCGAGCGAGACGCGGAUGUGUCCCCCGCGACGGUGACUCCCAAGAGGCCGUCGGCGCUGACGUUCAUGCAGCAGCAGGAGCUGGAGCACCAGGUGCUCAUCUACCGCUACUUCGCCGCGGGCGCGCCGGUGCCGGUGCACCUGGUGCUCCCCAUCUGGAAGAGCGUCGCCGCGUCCUCCUUCGGCCCGCAGCGCUUUCCCUCGCUGAUGGGCCUGGGCAGCCUGUGCUUCGACUACCGCAGCAGCAUGGAGCCGGAGCCCGGGCGGUGCCGGCGCACGGACGGCAAGAAGUGGCGGUGCUCCCGCGACGUGGUGCCGGGCCACAAGUACUGCGAGCGGCACGUCCACCGCGGCCGCGGCCGUUCAAGAAAGCCUGUGGAAGCCGCCGCGGCACCGGCGGCGGCGGCCGGCGGCAGCAGCCCCGUCCUCCGGGUCGCCGCGCCCCAGCACGUGCUCGGCCUCUCCUCGCCCACCAGCGUCCUCCUCGCCCACGGCGCCGCGCGUGCCACGUGAGUAGCGCGCCGCCGCGGGCCGACCGAUGGUGCCGUGGUCUACUGGUCUUGGGCCUCGGAAUCACGAGGGGCAAACGGAAUCCGCAGGGGUUAUUACUGUGUCGUGCGUGCUGUAAUCUUUUUUUUCUUCUCUCCCUCGCAGAAGUCGAGAAAACAACCCGGUUUAGCAUGCAUCGGUACGGUAGCUCGCUGCGUUGAUUCUGCUGUUUACGUGUGCCUGAGACACCAGUACACGGGGGG